ACAAGUUUCAAUAUUCAUGCUCUCUAUCUGAAAAGCUUGCAAAUCUUCUAUUCCAGAAUCACGUCCCCUGCAUUUAUCUACAGUUCUGAAACUCUUACUAGAGUUACGAUCUUUGCUUCCAAAACUUACCAGAUUCAAGUUUUAUGGGACUAAACCUUUACUGUGCACUGCCAAGAACCUCACUUCUGUGCACAAAGUAAAUAUCGAUUUAUGUCCAGAUAUUGAGCGUAUCUGGGAUAUCGAUUCAAAGAAGCAGCUCGGUCUCUAUUUGAGCAAGUUGCUCAAUGAGUUUCAUAAAAAUCAUCACAUUGUCCUUGACUACAGUUAAGGUUCUUUCGCAAGUUCCUGAUAUACUGAAUGAGCAACCAUCAAAAUCUCCUAGCUUGGAGUGUCUGAAGUUGAAAACUAAUACAUGGUGGAAGAACCUCUCUCUGCUUUCCUGUAUCCUUACUUUCUUAAUGACUCCUCCAUUUUGAAAGUAUGUCAAUUAUAUUAAUUCCUGGAUGAGGUAAACAUAACAAUUCCUCUUGUAUUCUUAUUGUUUGACACUGAUACCGUGUGCACUUUUGGACAUCAACAGACUUCCUUUUAAUGAUUUCUUAAGUGCAGUUGUCAAAGCAACUUGUCUUUUUUAGGUUGCCUUGUGGUUUUUCCGAGGUGCAAAUGCCAAACCAGGUUUUAUUUGAAGCAGUUUUUGUUCAUCUUGAUCAUGCAACCUAGGAGCAGCAAGUAUUGCACCUGCAACUCAACUAUAGUGAGAGAGUUGGAGCCUUGGAGGCCAUGUCCAUUGUUCCUCUAAAUAGAGAACUCUUGCUUUCCAGGCUUUGAGGCUAAGGUGUUUAAGUGGAUCUUCCAUGGCAGAAUCUCAUCCACGUUCUCAACAGAGAAAUCAUAUUAAUUAUCAUGAUCAACUGCUCCUUAAAUUUCAAUUUAAUUAGUUUAAAGAAGUUGCUCAAAUAUGUUUUGCUUUCUAGUCACCUUCCUAAUAAACAAAUAAUACGAGUUAAUUUUAUUUUUAAUUUA
RNA transcript from Ricinus communis (castor bean), 1023 nucleotides. RefSeq lists it as uncharacterized. NCBI's taxonomy places the organism in Eukaryota, Viridiplantae, Streptophyta, Magnoliopsida, Malpighiales, Euphorbiaceae. The record is from RefSeq and is a predicted model, not a curated record. The transcript is spliced from 2 exons.